CAGUCGCCGCGGUAAAACGUAGGUGGCAAGCGUUGUCCGGAAUUAUUGGGCGUAAAGGGCUCGCAGGCGGUUUCUUAAGUCUGAUGUGAAAGCCCCCGGCCAAACCGGGGAGGGUCAUUGGAAACUGGGAAACUUGAGCGCAGAAGAGGAGAGUGGAAUUCCACGUGUAGCGGUGAAAUGCGUAGAGAUGUGGAGGAACACCAGUGGCGAAGGCGACUCUCUGGUCUGUAACUGACGCUGAGGAGCGAAAGCGUGGGGAGCGAACAGGAUUAGAUACCCCAGUAGUCCCUGUCUCUUAUAC
Molecule: ribosomal RNA, 301 nt
Filed under: uncultured bacterium
Lineage: Bacteria
Description: partial 16S ribosomal RNA
Rfam family: Bacterial small subunit ribosomal RNA
Source: RNAcentral